RNAcentral lists this ribosomal RNA (421 nucleotides) under uncultured Dysgonomonas sp. RNAcentral describes it as "bacterial SSU rRNA". It matches the Rfam family "Bacterial small subunit ribosomal RNA", at positions 356 to 774 of the family's 1533-position model. The record is from RNAcentral. Lineage: Bacteria; Pseudomonadati; Bacteroidota; Bacteroidia; Bacteroidales; Dysgonomonadaceae.
GAGGAAUAUUGGUCAAUGGGCGAGAGCCUGAACCAGCCAAGUCGCGUGAAGGAAGACUGCCUUAUGGGUUGUAAACUUCUUUUAUACAGGAAUAAAAAGGCUUACGUGUAGGCCAUUGCAAGUACUGUAUGAAUAAGCAUCGGCUAACUCCGUGCCAGCAGCCGCGGUAAUACGGAGGAUGCGAGCGUUAUCCGGAUUUAUUGGGUUUAAAGGGUGCGCAGGCGGGCUUUUAAGUCAGCGGUGAAAUCUGGACGCUUAACGUCCAAACUGGCCGUGGAACCGGGGGGCCUUGAUAAUGAAGGAAGAAGGCGGAAUCGGUUUGGUACCGUGAAAUUCCAUAGUAAUACCGAGGAACCCCAAUUCGGUAGGAACCUACUAAGCCAUAACUGACGCUCAUGCACGAAAGCGUGGGGAUCAAACA